RNAcentral lists this transfer RNA (75 nucleotides) under Thermoplasmatota archaeon. Its description in RNAcentral is "Candidatus Thermoplasmatota archaeon tRNA-Arg". It matches the Rfam family "tRNA". From Rfam's summary of the family: Transfer RNA (tRNA) molecules are approximately 80 nucleotides in length. Their secondary structure includes four short double-helical elements and three loops (D, anti-codon, and T loops). Lineage: Archaea; Methanobacteriati; Thermoplasmatota. The record is from RNAcentral.
GGGCACGUAGCAUAGCACGGAUAAUGCGACAGGCUUCGGACCUGUAGAUCGGGGGUUCAAAUCCCCUCGUGCCCA